UAGAGUUUGAUCCUGGCUCAGGAUGAACGCUGGCGGCGUGCUUCAUACAUGCAAGUCGAACGCUGAAACCCCUUCGGGGGUGAAUGAGUGGCGUACGGGUGAGUAACACGUGAGCAACCUGCCCCGCAGUCUGGAAUAACCCCGGGAAACUGGGGCUAAUACCGGAUACGACUCCGGCGGGCAUCCGCUGGAGUGGAAAGGGCUCCGCAUUCGCGGGGUUCCGCUACGGGAUGGACUCGCGGCCUAUCAGCUUGUUGGCAGGGUAAUGGCCUACCAAGGCGAUGACGGGUAGCCGGCCUGAGAGGGUGUUCGGCCACACUGGGACUGAGACACGGCCCAGACUCCUACGGGAGGCAGCAGUGGGGAAUCUUGCGCAAUGGGCGAAAGCCUGACGCAGCAACGCCGCGUGAGGGACGAAGGCCUUCGGGUUGUAAACCUCUUUCAGUAGGGACGAAGCUUUAUACGUGACGGUACCUACAGAAGAAGCACCGGCUAACUACGUGCCAGCAGCCGCGGUAAUACGUAGGGUGCAAGCGUUGUCCGGAGUUAUUGGGCGUAAAGGGCUCGUAGGCGGCCCGUCACGUCGAUUGUGUAAUCCCGUGGCUCAACCACGGGCAUGCAGUCGAUACGGUCGGGCUAGAGUUCGGUAAGGGAGACUGGAAUUCCUGGUGUAGCGGUGGAAUGCGCAGAUAUCAGGAGGAACACCAGUGGCGAAGGCGGGUCUCUGGGCCGAUACUGACGCUGAGGAGCGAAAGCGUGGGGAGCGAACAGGAUUAGAUACCCUGGUAGUCCACGCUGUAAACGUUGGGCGCUAGGUGUGGAGAACUAUAACGGUUUUCUGUGUCGAAGCUAACGCGUUAAGCGCCCCGCCUGGGGAGUACGGCCCGCAGGCUAAAACUCAAAGGAAUUGACGGGGGCCCGCACAAGCGGCGGAGCAUGUUGCUUAAUUCGAUGCAACGCGAAAAACCUUACCAAGGCUUGACAUGUCGGGAAAACUGGUGGAGACGUCAGGUGCCUUUCGGGGCGUCCGGCACAGGUGGUGCAUGGCCGUUGUCAGCUCGUGUCGUGAGAUGUUGGGUUAAGUCCCGCAACGAGCGUAACCCUUGUCCUGUGUUGCCAGCACGUUAUGGUGGGAACUCACAGGAGACUGCCGGGGUCAACUCGGAGGAAGGUAGGGAUGACUUCAGGUCCUCAUGCUCCUUAAGUCUUGGGCUGCGAACAUGCUACAAUGGCCGGUACAAAGGGCUGCGAAGCCGCGAGGUGGAGCGAAUCCCGUAAAAGCCGGUCUCAGUUCGGAUCGAAGUCUGCAACUCGACUUCGUGAAGUUGGAGUCGCUAGUAAUCGCAGAUCAGCAAUGCUGCGGUGAAUACGUUCUCGGGCCUUGUACACACCGCCCGUCACGUCACGAAAGUCGGUAACACCCGAAGCCAGUGGCCUAACCCGUGUAUGCGGGAGGGAGCUGUCGACGG
This 1469-nucleotide ribosomal RNA is filed under the name uncultured Actinomycetes bacterium. RNAcentral describes it as "uncultured actinobacterium partial 16S ribosomal RNA". It matches the Rfam family "Bacterial small subunit ribosomal RNA". Lineage: Bacteria; Bacillati; Actinomycetota; Actinomycetes. The record is from RNAcentral.